RNAcentral lists this unclassified non-coding RNA (217 nucleotides) under Hevea brasiliensis (rubber tree). Lineage: Eukaryota; Viridiplantae; Streptophyta; Magnoliopsida; Malpighiales; Euphorbiaceae. The record is from RNAcentral.
UCCGUAUGCCUGUGUUCUAUGAGAAAAUGGAUGUACUCCCCUGCCAUGAACACCCAUUAAGUAGAAGAGAAGUAUAAAGAGGAACAAAGAAGAUAAAGCACCAUAUUUGAGUAUUGUAAAUAAAACCCAAUAUCAGAGAUAUUACACACAUUAAUCUUCAUUGACAAAGUCUAGUUCUUCAAUGAUUUUGCCCCAUCACUAUAACUAGGUGUCCAUG